Molecule: long non-coding RNA, 1785 nt
Filed under: Nicotiana benthamiana
Lineage: Eukaryota; Viridiplantae; Streptophyta; Magnoliopsida; Solanales; Solanaceae
Description: long non-coding RNA (NBEN_LNC040087)
Source: RNAcentral
UUGGGAGGCCUAUGGGACUACUCUGACUGGGGAUGGGUUGUUGGCACAUGGUCCUGUAAUAAUAAAUAUAAAGGCAGUUGAUCUGCCUUCAACCUGUCAACUUUAACCCGCAGCUCCUUCACAGACUCCUUGAAAGCCCUAGUCUUCCUCCUCUUCUUCGCCUCCCUAGAAAGCUCCUUGAGAGCUUUCCCAUGAGAAUCCACAUCUUCUGUAAGCACUUUCUGCGUAUCAAGGAUCUUCUUAUGGUUUUCCAAAUCUCCUUGAGGGCAUCCUGAAUAGACUGUGGGGCCUGUGGAGGCGAAGGUGCCGACUGAGCUGCUACUGUAGUAGUGAGGUCAGAUAGCUUAGAGGAAGUUGUCUGCAUCCAGUUGUUGAUGCUGAGAAGAGCCUGGAUCAGUCAGUGUGCAGUCACUUGAUAGGCCCGUGUAGAGGGUAUAUCUGGAGCUGCUGAAGUGGAUGGACUAGAGGGAAUUACCAUUGAGGUGGAGGCAUUCUGAGUAGGAUCAACUACUAUAACUAGAUCUUCAGACUGGCUAGUUGGAGUAGUGGUUGUUCUCUUGAAGGUCUUACCUUUUGGGUUGUCAUCACCCUGCAUGUUGUACCAUUAGAACAGGGCCUUCGAUUUCACUUUGAUAUUGAAUGGCUUCUUUUCAACCUUGAGGUCCCUAAAGUACAUGGUCAAGAAGUUGGGGAAGGAGUAGUUUUUGUCACCUUCAUUUACUACCUGUGUGAUCACCUGAGACAUCACUUUCCCGAUGUUAAUCGGGUACCCCGCCAUGAUUGAUUCUACAAACCACCCGGUGAAGAGGAAGGGAGUUGUCAUAGGUAGUUAGGUCCAAUCUUCUGCACACUAAUGUUUCCCUCCACUUGGCCUCGAAAUUCAAAAUUCUUCUCAAAAUUUUUACUCCCGCAUUCAACCAAUCAAGGGUGGUACCUGGGAUUGCCAGAUACUGUGCCAACCAAGGACGGACCUCCUCAGCUAAUUCCAUCUUCGCCAAAUACAAUGACCCAUCCUCCUCAUCGAAAUCCAGUAGUCAUUUAUUGACUUUUCAUCAAACAAUACUUUCAAAUUUUGCGCCUUGGUCACUUUGGUGCCUUUUUUAUGUGGGCCAAAUUGGUAUAGAAUUCCUUGACCAAGUGGUCAUUUGCAUCCACACAGUCCCCUAAUAAGUACUCCCAGCCUACUCUCUCUCUGAAUUUCCUCCUCACAUUGGGGUUGUGAGGCAAGAGGUCUCUAUCAACAAAGCUUAUCUCCGGAAUCAAUUUCCUCACGGGCCACCAUUCCCUGAAUUUAUGGUAGGCCACUUACUCACGAAGCGGUCUUGCCAAACCUCCGAUUUUCUAGUUCUAGCAAUACCUCCAACCUGAGGUUCACCCCUUAUCCUACUACCUCUUCUUCUCUUGGUGCACCCUCUAUGGAUAAUGAAGUUGUGGGAGAAGUGGAGUAUUCAUCCCCACUGCCUCCAGCUGAGCCCUCAUACGACCUAGAAGAUACAUUUACUGAAGCUUGGGCGGUGGGGGAUGCUAGAGGAGUGUCUCUUAGUCUCUUUCUCUCUGGCCAGUCAGGGACAAAUUCUGGCACGGAGUCUGAAGAUAUAUCCCGAGAAGGCUCAUACUCACUCCCCGACUGAUCAAUGGCCCUAUGAGCAGCCCAGAUGAUCUUCCUUGUGUUUUAAUGUUUUCCAAGUUUGGGGAGUCAAUAUUAGCAUCUUCUUAUUCCCUCCCCGAGAGUAUUCUCCUCGACUUGCUUGUUUAGAACCCUUGCCUCUUUUUUUUUUAUCAUUG